CCGAAAGGCUAUAAUUAUAAAUAUAGCGGAUAUAAAAUAUAGAAUUACUAUACUUUCCGCGAGGAGACCGCUGAUACAGCAGCGGGCCGGAAACCACGGAGACGCGAGCUAAGAGCUUCGUCUUUCGAGCAGCUUUGCGCUCAAAAUCUAGCCGCGUAUGUAAAAACUAUUCACCAACUAGGUGCCUGUCGCCAGGCACUUCUUCUAAACGAAAUAACGCAAAACCGAGUUUACGUAAAAACUCGGGAGUGAACAAAGAAUGGGUUCAAAAAGAUCAACAUCAGAGUCGCAUCGCGAAUAAAUUGAGAGUCGCGUUAAGCAAGUAAAAAAGAAAAACGGAGUCACACGAGGUCUAGAAAUAAUCAUACUCAGAGUCUUGAUAGAGUUUAUAUAUCAAUAUAUUGAAUAAAGAAGUGAACUUAAAAUCUAUCAAGACUACAAAUUAUUGAGAAAACUCCGACAAUUCGGAAGUCCUCUUUCUAAUCCGGCCUACAUCCCUAAGUGCUUUACCCGAGGUACAACAAAUUGGUGGCAACGGUAGUAUGCCAGAGAUCGCCGAGGUUUCCUUAUAGAAAAAAGUCUUGUAAAAACACAAAAAAUAUUUAUAAAAGAUGUUAGACGGGCACGUCAAUAGUCAAUAACGCUGACGGAAGCAAGCAGAAGCCACGGCAAUAACGAGAGAAAGAGAAAACGGACAACACAAGCAGUGCAACGAGUGAUAAGUAGCUGAGGAUCAAAAAGGAUCGUCAACAUCCAAGGAUCACAACGCUAAACUACGACAACCUCACGGGCAGCGCAUCACCACGAGCGACAAUUCGCCGUAUCUAUCACCAACAUGGAGCAGCUGUUAUCAGCUCACAAGUGAUCGAGUUGCAGCAGCAGCAGCAGCCGACCCGUAUAGAGCGUAACGAUGCGAGCAGUAAUACUGAUGUUUCCUGAAACGUUUGAAAUGAUUAUGCAAUUGAUUGAGCCAGCUUUAACUCUAACAAAUACAACAGGAAGAAAACAAAUAUCGGCAGAAAAACAAUUAUUAAUAACAUUAUAGUUUUUAGCUACUCCAGAUUCUUAUAGAUCAAUACAUGUCCAAUUUGGUGUUGGAAAAGCAACAGCAUUCAGAGCAGUAAGAAGGGUAACUUAUGCCUUGCAUUGUUUUGCACCAAGAUUCAUUCGAGUGGCCAAAAAAUGAAGUGCUACACCGUACUAUUGAAGAAUUUGCGAAAGCAAGGUUUUCCUAAUGUAAUCGGAGCCCUUGAUAGAUCAUAUAUUAGAAUUAGAGCUUCAAAGGAAAAUCCUGCUUCAUACAUAUGCAGGAAACAAUUUCAUGUGAUUCACUUGCAAGCGGUAUGUAAUGCAAAAACAGUUUUUAUUCACUGCUAUGCAGGACAUGUCGGCUCAGUACAUGAUGCAAGAGUGUUGAGAAAUUCUGCAUUUGCAGAAUUACAUUGAAAUGCCAAAUGAAUACUUUCCUUUCGAUACUCAUUAUAGCAGAUUCUGCAUAUGCAAUUUUUCCGCAUUUAAUGGUUCUAUUUAAAGAUAAUGGCCAUCUCACAGCACUUCAAAAAAAUUAUAACUUUUGUUUGUUAUCAACCAGGAUGACCAUAGAGCGAGCGUUUGGAUUAUUAAGGGUUCCGUAUUUUGUUAGAUUGCUUACUCCUGACUGAUAUAAAAAAAAAUACAAAUUAUAUUAGCUUGUUGCGUUCUCCAUAAUAUUUGCACUCUAAGAAAUGGUGAGUUUCCAGAUGUAGUAUAUUGUCACGUCCUGGGCUUCAAAUUCUGCGCGUUUACGCGCGUUCACGAGUACGCAUAGUGGAGGAAACCUGAGCAAGCGGGGCCGAGCGGUAGAACACGCGUGGUCAGGAGUAGGGGAAGAACGCGCGAGGACAGGAUAACAGAUGGAAUACGGAGAUUGGGAAGUAUUUUAAUAAUUAAAAUGUAUAAUUAGUUAGUACUUACUACCGUAAUA
Non-coding RNA from Nylanderia fulva, 1963 nucleotides. The record is from RefSeq and is a predicted model, not a curated record. NCBI's taxonomy places the organism in Eukaryota, Metazoa, Arthropoda, Insecta, Hymenoptera, Formicidae.